RNAcentral lists this ribosomal RNA (229 nucleotides) under uncultured bacterium. RNAcentral's name for it is "partial 16S ribosomal RNA". It matches the Rfam family "Bacterial small subunit ribosomal RNA", at positions 568 to 796 of the family's 1533-position model. The record is from RNAcentral.
UGCGUAGGCGGUUAUAUUAGUCGGGUGUUAAAUCCUGGGGCUCAACCUCAGGCUCGCAUUCGAAACGGUAUAACUAGAAGAAGUCAGAGGUAAACAGAACUCUCGGUGUAGGGGUGAAAUCCGUUGAUAUCGAGGGGAAUACCAAAUGCGAAGGCAGUUUACUGGGACUUUCUUGACGCUGAGGCACGAAAGCGUGGGUAGCGAACAGGAUUAGAUACCCUGGUAGUCC